AUCUGUUCCAAGCAAUGACACCAAGCAGCUUCCUUUUGGAAAGGUCAGUCACAGUGAGUGUUUGGGUAAAGCCUAAAGCUGUUUGUACAUGCUAAGAGACUGCAGCUUGGCUUGGGUACCCCUGGGUCUGCACCCAGCUCUCCACACCAGCUUGACUCCCUAUGAUAAUUAGCCAUCUGUCUAUAGCUCUUCAGAGAAAGGCUGUGGGAAAGGGACACCCCAGGAAUGGAUGACAAAUUAAUGUGCUACUUAUCCUCGCCAACUCUUCCAGCUGGCUUAAUUCUCAUCAGCCACUAUAAUUUAUUAACAGUGAGGUGAUGCAGACUGAAGCUGACCACUCAUUGCCAGCUACUAAAGGUUUGAGAUCAUAAUGGAUAUAGUCAUCUCCAAAGCAUAAGAAACAGCAGAGUCGGAAAAGGUGUGUACUGAUAAAUGUUAAGCAACCUCCGAGGAAAAAAAAUGUACAUGUGACACACAUACAUCAUAUACAUGUGUCAUUAUAAAGACAGUUUGAUCUGCAUUAUCAGCAUUUUCUUUAUUACUCUCUUACUUCAUUUUCUUCAUUACUCUAGACAAG
This 577-nucleotide long non-coding RNA is filed under the name Phascolarctos cinereus (koala). Its description in RNAcentral is "lncRNA (ENSPCIG00000034170.1)". The record is from RNAcentral. Lineage: Eukaryota; Metazoa; Chordata; Mammalia; Diprotodontia; Phascolarctidae.